This is an RNA transcript of Cornus florida, 2447 nucleotides long. RefSeq lists it as uncharacterized. The transcript has 3 exons. The record is from RefSeq and is a predicted model, not a curated record. Lineage: Eukaryota; Viridiplantae; Streptophyta; Magnoliopsida; Cornales; Cornaceae.
UGAUAAAAAAAAAAAUUUAAAAUAAUUACAGGUAUUUAUAUAUAUAUAUAUCAUAAAACACAUUUCACCAUUUUCUAACCCUAGAGAGAGAGGAAAUGGGUAUGUGUUAUAUGCACAUAUGAGUGAGGGACAAAAUGGAAAUAAAAGGUAAAAUAUGAUUUUUCAUAUUUGGUUUUUGUCAAAAAGUAGUUAGAGGGGCUUAUUUGUAUUUUUUUUUUUUUUUUUUUGAAUUUUAUAAACUAACAUGUACAUUUUUAAAAGGUAAAAAAUACUUCUGCACGUACCUUAUAUAUCAAGUUUAUUUUAUUUAUUUAUUUAUUUAUUUUUCGUACUUAAACCUAAUUUUAAUUGAAUUGAAGUGAUAAAGGUUGAUCUAAUAAUUUCUUAAUCCAUCUAGGAAUUCUGUGGACGACCAGUCUAAUGGUUCGUAUCCUCAGAAGAGGAGAGAGAGAUUUGACCCUCUUCUAAAUUUUCCACUCAGUUUUUACACAAAUUGUUUAAAACUAAAAUACUAAUUUCUCCUCCGUGAGACUCUUUGGUCUGCCUUAAGCCGAUUCGCUUGAAAUUGAAUAGUACCACUCAUCUCCCAAAAUCAACGUUGUGCGCAAUUCUCAUCUUCCCGCCCUUUUCUUUUCCCGCCGUUCAACUUGUUACUCAUUUCUCUCUCUCUAGAAUUGUGCCAAGAUUUUGUUCCAUCAGAUCUAAGCCAUGAAAGGAAAACUAGGUUCAACCCAGAAAGGCAAAAUAGAAGCUGAGAAGUCCCACGAUGAACAAUUUCAGAUACUGGGUUGUUCCAUCACAGAUCUUCCCAGUCCCAUUUUGGUCAGUAUUCUGAUAAGACUCCCUGUAAAGAGUAUUCUCAUGUGCAAAUGCGUAUGCAAAACUUGGGUCACUCUAAUUUCUGACCCUCAUUUCGCCAAGCUUCACUUUGCUCUGGCAGAGCCCAGUGCUCUGCUUCGAACCGAAUUUGAUUCAAUGUUUGUGUCGAGAAUGCUUUACUUGGUUGAGCCUAAGAAUUGCAAUAAUUUUGGUCAGUUUGACCGUAGUGUUAACAUGAAGCUUGAAACCAAAUUGAAGAUUCCAUUGCGCAAUGUUGACAGGUUGCGUGGAGUUACAACUCAUAAUGCCCAAAUGCAACGCAGUCAGGUUAAAAGAAGGAAUGACGGCCCCAAGUUAACCCUAGUGAUCAUGUAUUCAAAAUUGUCAAUUCGUGCGAUGGUUUGCUUUGCUUGUCGGAACCAAUAUGCAAUAAACCUGUUGUUGUGUGUAAUCCAAUCACAGGUGAGUAUAUAAACAUUCCAAUGGUUUAUGGGGGAGAUGAGAAUGCCAGAAAUAUUUAUGGUUGUGGGUUGGGUUUUAGUCCAAGUGCUAAUCAGUACAAAGUGGUUAGAAUAUUGAAUUGCUGGAUUCUUGAGCCUGUUAUAGGCGUGGAAGUAUAUGGCGGUUGGAAGGCUGAAAUACACACACUAGGCACAGGAUCAUGGAAAAACAUUGGUGAUGGUCCCAAUUCGAUUUUUGAGAUAACAUUUCCCACCUAUCUGAAGGGAGGUCUUCAUUGGUUAGAUGGCGGAAGUCAUGAUCAUAUAGUUUCUUUUAACUUUGAUGACGAGUGCUUCCAAUGAGUUCCCCUGCCUCAUCGUGAAAAUGUUUACACUUACUACUAUGCACCUCAUAAUCUGUCUAUGGGAGUAUUAGAAGACUGUCUAUGCAUAAGUGAUAUCUCCAAUUCUGAUUCUAUUAACAUAUGGGUUAUGAAGAAAUAUGGUGCUCCAGAGUCUUGGACAAAACUGUUACUCUUGAUACCCUACCUGAUGGGAGGUCGCCUAGAUGUCUAGAUCAGCCCCCAAGUUACCAAAAAGAUGGGGCUGUAUUGAUCUUUGAUUAUUCUAGAAGUGGUCUGAUUUAUUAUGACCCUAAAGGACCAAAAUUCAGAUAUUUUAAGAUUAAGGGGGUUAAUUCAAAAUUUGAAGCAAUUGCUUAUAUUCCAAGCUUUAUUUCACUUAAAGACGCCAUUGUUGGAGAUGAUGCUAAGGUGCUGAAUAUCAAUUCAAGGUGUGCAAAAUUCAAAAUGCCAGGAGAGACUCGAACUCUUUCAUUGGUGGAAGAAUACAAGGACAAGCCGCUUGAUUCGAAUUGUUCAUCUUAAGAUACUGCAGUCAAAAUCUAUUAAUCAAAGCUAUAUCUGAAGGUUGAGGAGUUGAGCAAGUAUACCUUUACUGAUCCUACUCUGUUUGUGGUUUAUUGUCCAUAUUCUAUCUACGCAUGAAGCCUUGAACUGAUCCUGCGUACAAAUUGACACGGUCCCUUGGCACCAAUCUAUUAAUGUGAACAAGGAUUUUAUUAUUAUUAUUUUUUUGGAUAAGGAACUUGUUUUUACAGAUUUAAGUAGUUUGAUUUGAUUAUUGAAUCAGUUUGCAAUUAAUCUAGCAACUUUGAUGUUUCUUCUA